ACACUGCACUCUACCUGGGAUGACAGAGUGAGACUCUCUCAAAAAAACAAAACACCCAAGGGCGGUGCAUGGUGGCUGCAAUGGCUGCCCCCAGUCUACGCAGGGCUGGGCUUGUUCAAGCAGUGUUAUGGGUCUGGCAGUUGGGUCCCCACUUCUCGGGGGAGUGGGUGACUCCGUUCUCCUCGCUUUCAUGCUGUCAGCUGAGGUGCCUGUCCUGUGUCUCAGGCGCCACUUUCUCUGGUCCCCGCUUGGCAUCGGCCUCUUCCCAAUACGGCCCGGGCUCAGCCCUGGACCAUUUUCUCGGAUUACCUCAGCCUGGCAGUUCGCUGCUGACUCCUUGCGUCCCCGUGGUGUCCAUACGUAGAGAGGAGCAGGGUAUCCUCUUGUCCCUCGCCCUGACAUGCCUGAGAAUCCCCGGGUCCUACGUGUGGUUCUCCCGGGAGCUUUGAAUGCAGGGAAGUCAACGCGUUUCCUGUCUCCGAGGAAGUGCUCACCGCUCACUGCCAAGCUCUGCGUGUCAUCACGGAGAAGGAGGCCCAGGUGAUUCUGUUGGUCACACCUGGCAUUAUCAGUCCUGUUAAACAGAAGAGGCACCACCUGGAGCUCUCUUGGUUGGAAGAUCCGUGGAAGAGUAUGGAGUCUGCUGAUCUUGUUGUUCUUCUUGUGGAUGUCUCAGACAAGUGGACCCAGAACCAGCUCAGCGCUGAGGUGCUCCAGUGCUUGACCCAGUACUCUCAGGUCCCCAGCAUCCUUGUCCUGAACAGGGUAGAUUGCUUGAAGCAAAAGUCAGUUCCCCUGGAGCUCACGGUGGCCCUCCCCGAAGGUGUGGUCAAUGGCAAGAAGCUGGGCAUGAAACCAGCCUUCCGCUCACGCCCUGGCAUGCAUGGCCCCAGCCCAGCAGCUAGGGCCCCAAACAUAAGGUCUGUGGGAAGCCCUCAGGGGACUGGCCGGCCCCGCUUCCAGGAGAUCCUCAUGUUGUCAGCCCUAAGCCAGGACGAUGUAAAAACACCAGAGAAAUACUUCCUGGCACAGGCCCAGCCAGGGCCCUGCGAGUUCCACAGUGGAGUCGUCACUAGCCAGACACCCGAAGGGAUCCGCGCCAACACCAUCCGAGAGAAGCUCCUAGAGCACCUGCCCCAGGAGGGACCCUACGGAGUGCAGCAGAAGACGAUCUUGUGGGACGAAGGACCAAGUGGGGAGCUGGUGAUCAAACAGAAGCUUCUGGUACCCAAAGAAUCUCAUGUGAGGCUCCUGAUUGGUCCAAAGGGCCAAGCAAUCUCCCAUAUCACACAGGAGGUGGGCAGAGACCUCAGGGACAUCUUCCUCUGUGACGUUCAGAUCCGCCUCUCUGCGAAGCUCAUGAAGUGACCCCCCACUCCUGCCCCUCCCACAGCAUGCCAGCCCGAGCUGCUGGCAGGAACGGACCGGCUGCCCUGGCUGGGCGGCGGGCGGGGUCGGAUGAGGGGAAUGAACACUGACUGCCUGCCAGCUGGCCUAGCCCUGCUGAGGCCACGCUAUGCCUCCUGUUGGAGGAAGCAGGCUGCCUUAGCUCAGUCCCCAAGCAGUUCCUUGACUCCUGGGACGUAGUAGCUACUUAGGUCUAAAAGUUGGUCCCUUGGUGGGAACUAGGCCACACAGCCUCCAGCUGGCACUGGGUCCAGAGCUUCUCCCUAAGUUGCCAUUGCUAGCAGGAAAGAGGUCUUUCUCCUCUUCCCCCAGUUCUUCCACCUUGAAGCUGUGC
Microcebus murinus (gray mouse lemur) is the source of this 1741-nucleotide non-coding RNA. The record is from RefSeq and is a predicted model, not a curated record. Lineage: Eukaryota; Metazoa; Chordata; Mammalia; Primates; Cheirogaleidae.